GAAAUGCGAUAAGUAAUGUGAAUUGCAGAAUUCAGUGAAUCAUCGAAUCUUUGAACGCACCUUGCGCUCCUUGGUAUUCCAUGGAGCAUGCCUGUUUGAGUGUCACGUAAACCCUCACACUCGUGAUGUCAAAGUCACGAGGCGUGGACUUGGACCGUGCCGUAGAUGGCUCGUCCUGAAAUGUAUUAGCUUGCGCCUUUUUAGAGUGCUCGGCAUGGUGUGAUAAUUAUCUUCACCGUUCGCCUUAGGCCUCUUCUGUGAGCGCUGCUUCCAGCCGUCCCUCGUGGACAACACAUAAAGCUUUGGCCUCAAAUCAGGUAGGACUACCCGCUGAACUUAA
RNAcentral lists this unclassified non-coding RNA (340 nucleotides) under uncultured fungus. Its description in RNAcentral is "sequence contains ITS1". The stretch from base 1 to 105 matches the Rfam family "5.8S ribosomal RNA", at positions 50 to 154 of the family's 154-position model. Lineage: Eukaryota; Fungi. The record is from RNAcentral.